GGGUGAGAGGAACCAAGGAUGAGCACCCCCCCUCCCCUUUGCUUGUCACUGCCCAUAUCCAGGCCUGGGAAGGUCCUGCCAGCCAGCGACACCCACACAGAUUACAGACUCCCACACAGAUUACAGACUCCUGGCAUGGCCACAAGAGAGUUCCCCAGUCUCUGCUGGCCUUGGCCUCCCUGGGACACCCGGCAGGUAAGGAAUGGGCAAAGGACCCAGGCACCCUGGGAAGCCAGACAAGAGGCCAUGUGAGUGGGAGCCAUGGGCACGGCUGCUAUUUCAGGCUUCCGAAGAACAACACAAAUUUGUCACCGAGGGUGAUUGAGAAAACUAUCCCGAACUCCUCAAAGCCAGCUGGACCCGGAUUUGAGACGACCUGCCCAGUGCCCACAACACACAUGUUAAGUCUGAUGUGACACACAUGUGCCAGGCCUCAGCCCCUCCUUGCAAGGCACAUGCUGCCACACAGCCAGCCAGCCUCCCCCAGGAGCCUCUGAGUGACGGCAGCCACUUCUCUGAAGCUGUAGCUGAGGCUGAUAUCUGGCUGGGGGUGGGGGAGGAUGUCACAGGACAGCUUGAUGGCUCUCUCCGUGGGGGAGGGGGAGUCAGGAUGAUUUCAACCGUACUUUAAGAGCCUACUUUUGGCUGAAACCUGGGGAUGUCACUCAGGGCCACAGCCCCUGACAUUCUGCCUUAGUCCCUGGGCAAGAAAUCUGGUUGUUGUACAGAAGCUGGUACAAGGAGUGAGAUAAUGAAUCCGAUCUACAUCAUUCCAUGUUAUGUGCAUUAUAUACAUAUAUGUAUUACAUAUACAUAUACUGUCAAGAAAUAA
RNAcentral lists this long non-coding RNA (832 nucleotides) under Homo sapiens (human). RNAcentral describes it as "HSALNT0389618". The record is from RNAcentral. Lineage: Eukaryota; Metazoa; Chordata; Mammalia; Primates; Hominidae.